This is a long non-coding RNA of Parus major (Great Tit), 1617 nucleotides long. RefSeq lists it as uncharacterized. The record is from RefSeq and is a predicted model, not a curated record. NCBI's taxonomy places the organism in Eukaryota, Metazoa, Chordata, Aves, Passeriformes, Paridae. The transcript has 2 exons.
AGACUGAAAGCACAGCACAGGCCCUGAGAACAAAAGGUCCUCUCACAGAUUUGCACUUUCCAAACACCAUUGAUGUAUGUGAAAGAAAACACAGACGAUAAAUUCUCAUCCUCAGCGCACAUUUCAAGACAUCACUUUAAUUAUUCCUAUCACUUCUGUUGUCUGUUGCACUCCCCCAACGUAUGAGCAAUACUUCCCAUGUUUUCAGCAGCACUUUUUGUGUACCCAAUGUGCAGGUGCAGCAAAUACCUUGGCAAGGGGGAAAGUGAUUAUCACUUAAGAAAACAGUAACACUGUAUAGUUCCUACUUCUUCAAGGUCUUGAGCAAAGCAUAAAUUCUCAUGAAAACGAAGUCACUGCACUUCAAACAUCAGACAGCGAAGUAGGUUAAGUCUACAGAGCUGCACUUCAUUUUUUCUGAGAACUCUGCGCUUUCUUGUACGUAUUUCAAAAAUAUGCACUGGUGAACUUUUAACAUACUAAGUACUGUUGAAUCCUAUGCAUUAAUGUUGGUCAUCUCAUAUUUCAUCCUCUGUUUUAGUCUGCAGUAGUUUUUAACAGCCUUACAGUUCAUAAGAAGUGGUACUGUGUAAGGAAUAUAAAUAUUUUUUAUUCUCCCUAAUAUAUACUUUUCUAUUCCAGGUUUAUUCUUUCUGCAAGUGGAGUGGAUCGUGAUCUGGCUCGUUGUUCCUUUUUCCUAUGCAUAUACUUCUUUGAGAAUUGCUUCUAAAGAGGUAUAGGGCAUGGGAAAAUGGGGCAACAGAGGUACUUCACCACUCAUCUCGAACAGCAUCGUGAAGGCAGCGGCAGAAAUGUUUGGAGAAAGCAGACGGGCAAAGAAAUGAAAGGUAAAUUUAUGGAACUCGCAAUUAAUCCUCAAAACUUGCAUAGAAAGAUACUGGCAAUAUUCACUGUGAUCUAACAUCUAAAUGUUGGUUUCCUCUUAAAAUCUGAUUUAUUACAAGAGCAAUGUUUUAAGCUUGUCUCCAAUGACAUUAUUAAAUACAUCACUUGGUCUAAUGUAAAACACAUGCCUUGCUAAGAAGUUGCUCCUGUGGGUCCUUAUUCCAUAAGUGUGCAAUUGAAAACAGCAGAUGCAGCCACACAAAUGUCCAGAACGCUGCCCUUUGUCUCACAGGUGCCGGGAUCAGCCCCCCCAGAAUCCAGGUAAUGCUCACUCACCUGUGUAAAGCCCACUCACACCAGUGCUGCCCAAGUGGGUUGUCUGUAACGUGUCAAUUAUUCUCAGGAUUUUGUCCCUUCCGAUUCUAAGUACCUUUUACAUGAUGCAUGUGUGUGUGGAAUUGCAAAGUCUUCUCUUGUAAAACUCAGUUAAUGCUAAAUCAAAUUAAAAACAUAUUAAUUUUCUUUUCUUUCAUCCACAGGUGUCUUGGAAGAAGAAGUAGAAAAUCUCUUUGCUCAUUUUAUUUAAUAGAAAAACAGUCAUUAAACACAAUUUUUAUGUAUUUAUUUUAUUAAAGUAAUUUCCAAUUACUUUACUCUAAAUAGCAAUGUGUCACAUCAGUUUUGGGGGGAAAAGUAUUGGUUUUAUGAAACAAUGUAACUGUACAUAAUGCUUGUCAAAUAAAUAUUUGAUGUUUCAGUCAUAUAUCAAAA